GACGAACCGUGCGAACGUUAUUCGGAAUCAUUGGGCUUAAAGGGCGCGUAGGCGGGCGACCGCGUCGAGUGCUGAAAUCCCCCGGCUCAACCGGGGAAGGGGCCUCGAAACGGGUCGCCUCGAGGCGAGGAGGGGGACCUGGAACGUCCGGUGGAGCGGUGAAAUGCGUUGAGAUCGGACGGAACACCAACGGCGAAAGCAAGGUCCUGGACUCGUACUGACGCUGAGGAGCGAAAGCGUGGGGAGCGAACAGG
Molecule: ribosomal RNA, 254 nt
Filed under: uncultured bacterium
Lineage: Bacteria
Description: partial 16S ribosomal RNA
Rfam family: Bacterial small subunit ribosomal RNA
Source: RNAcentral